Molecule: long non-coding RNA, 464 nt
Filed under: Hordeum vulgare
Lineage: Eukaryota; Viridiplantae; Streptophyta; Magnoliopsida; Poales; Poaceae
Description: long non-coding RNA (HVUL_LNC003181)
Source: RNAcentral
AUAAUUCUAAAAUAACACAUCAUUUUCAUUACACCAUAGGAUCUGAAAAUAACACAAACAACACAGGAUUUCAUCAACUUUGUCCCAGUAGUACCAACCAGUGCAACAUCAUCAAACCACACAUCCAACCCCAGGCCAAUAUCAAAGUUACCAGGUCCAACCCCAGGCCAUCAAAAUUACCAGGUCCAACCCAGGCCAACAUCAUCAAACCACACAUCCAACCCCAGGCCAACAUAAAGAAAUGCCAGGUCCAAACAGCGAAGCAUCAAAAUUACCUAGCAUCACUUGCCUCAGACCAACAUCAAACAGACCAUUCUAAGCUAUUUUACCUUCGAACAGAUCUAUGAGGCGAGCAAAUUUAGCAUCACUUGCUUUAGCCCUGGCAUCGGUAUCCUCAACUCUUUUCAACAACAACUGAUAUUCCGCGGCACGUGCAGCAUUAGCCUCCUCUGAUUUCUUCUUGG